AGAGUUUGAUCCUGGCUCAGGACGAACGCUGGCGGCGUGCUUAACACAUGCAAGUCGAACGAGGUAGCAAUACCUAGUGGCGGACGGGUGAGUAACACGUAGGUAAUCUGCCCAUCGGUGGGGGACACCCAGUCGAAAGACUGGCUAAUACCGCAUACGCUGGCCUCUUGAAAUAGGGGUCAGGAAAGAUUUAUUGCCGA
RNAcentral lists this ribosomal RNA (200 nucleotides) under uncultured bacterium. RNAcentral's name for it is "partial 16S ribosomal RNA". It matches the Rfam family "Bacterial small subunit ribosomal RNA", at positions 8 to 221 of the family's 1533-position model. The record is from RNAcentral.